UCGGGGUAGCUAUUCCCUAUGCAGAUUAUUAUGUGAUUAGCAGAUUAAAACCAAAGUUGGGUCCUGCCGGACAAGCCUUAGCACUACGCGAUUUAUCAAGGGGGUCCCCAUAACAACCCCGAACGUGUUAGGAGCGAUCAUUAUGGAAUCAAACACCGGUAACCGGUAACUAAGGCGGCAAUAACGGAACAAGACACCCGGCAAAAGGGCUAGGCCUCCCGUCAUUUACCUAAUAUAUAGAUACAUUAAUUAAAUAACAGAAAUUAAGAUAAUGAUAUCAAGCUCAUGGCAACUCAAGAGUUAUAUACACCUGCAACUACAAUGCUAACAUUAGUAGCUGAGCAAGCCUACCUAGCCAUGCAAAUUUGCUAGGAAAGAGUAAGGUGUUUGGGCUCAUGGCAUAUGAAGAGGCAAUAUACUUUCAGAGGUAGGCAGCGAGCAAUAUGACGUGGAAUCGAAACUAACAUAACAAGUCUAGAUAUGGGAUCAAGGUCAUGUCAUCUUGCCUGUGAUAUCCUCAGCUUGGAAUGGUUCUGG
This 537-nucleotide long non-coding RNA is filed under the name Hordeum vulgare. RNAcentral describes it as "long non-coding RNA (HVUL_LNC003375)". The record is from RNAcentral. Lineage: Eukaryota; Viridiplantae; Streptophyta; Magnoliopsida; Poales; Poaceae.